RNAcentral lists this ribosomal RNA (1395 nucleotides) under Burkholderia mallei JHU. RNAcentral's name for it is "16S ribosomal RNA". Lineage: Bacteria; Pseudomonadati; Pseudomonadota; Betaproteobacteria; Burkholderiales; Burkholderiaceae. The record is from RNAcentral.
UCGCGCGCGCGCUCGGCCUCGAGCCGUGGCCGGGCGAGCCGACGCGCGAAGGCACCGCGUACGUGACGUCGGAGGAUCUGCUGAAGCAGCCGGAUCUCGCGGUGCUGUUCGUGAGCGCGACCGAGCCGGGCGUGCCGCUCGACGCGAAGCUCGAUUCGAGCAUCUGGCGAUUCGUGCCGGCGCGCCGGGCGGGGCGGGUCGCGCUCGUCGAGCGCAACAUCUGGGGGUUCGGCGGCCCGAUGUCGGCGUUGCGGCUCGCCGACGAGAUGACGCAGCGGGUGCUGGCAUUGCCGAAGCCCGCGGCCGGCGCGCCGCCGCGGUGAUGUCGGCGCGGGCCGUCGGGGCGGGGCGGCGCGCCGGGGGGCGGCUUGAUGGCCGCUGUCGCGGCUGAUCGGCGAUUACCGAUUACCGAGAAGCGAGAAACGAGAAGCGAGAAGCGAGAAACGACCGCAGGCUCCGGAUCCCAGGCUCCGGGUCGCAACUGUCGGACGUUCGCCCGAUGCGCGGCUACCGAUCUUGCGGCAUCGUCCCGGGCCGAAGGUACGCGAACAUGUGCGAGACAUAGUCCGGCUUGCCCAGCGCGACGCCGUGAUGGCGCAGAAUCGCAUACGCGGCGAUCGCGUGGAAAUAGAACUGCGGCAGCGCCCAGUCGCGCAGGUACUGCUCGCCCGUCAUGUCGAACACCGCGCCGUUGGGCAGCUCGAGCGCGAUCGGCCGCUCGGCGCCUUCGUCGAGCGCGUGCGGCGCCAGCCCGGCGAGCAAGGCGCGCGCAUCGGCGAGGCAGGCCUGCGCAUCGCGCAGAGAGCCGGGCGCGGCGUCCGCCUGCCAUCCCGCGCGCCGCACCUCCAGCAACGAUUCGGGAAGCGCGUCGCCGCGCAGGCGAUAGACGGGCUCCUGCGCCUGAAAGGCCGUGAAGCGGAUUUGCGCGGCAAGCGCGAACAUAUCGGCGGCGAGCCGUUUCGUCAGCACAUCGUCGGGCUCGGCGCCCAAUGCCCGCUGGUGCGCGGCGGCCUUGUCGAGCCACGCGGACAAACUCUGCAGCAUGUGCGUGAACGUCGGAACGAGCAGCGCGGUCGGCGACAUGAGCGAUCUCCGGAAGGUGUCGUGCGUGAACGAUACCAGCGAACGGCGGCGAACGGCGUGCGCAGGCGACCGGCGCUGAACGGCAACGAGAUGCGAUGGCACGCGAGGGGGCGCGGUGCGUGCCGGCGAAGGCGAGCGGCGCGUGAGCGCCGCGACGGGUGGCCGCGGGCGGCCGCGCUCGGCGCGGCGCAUCGCCGAGCGCUUCGGAUGCGUGCGAUGACGCGCACCGCCGCCUGUCGCACCGCUCACACGCCAGCCGGAGCCGCGCUCGCCGGCCGACAGCGGCGCGGCCGCGCUCGGCGCGGCGAGCGG